RNAcentral lists this transfer RNA (68 nucleotides) under Darevskia portschinskii. RNAcentral describes it as "tRNA-Val". It matches the Rfam family "tRNA". From Rfam's summary of the family: Transfer RNA (tRNA) molecules are approximately 80 nucleotides in length. Their secondary structure includes four short double-helical elements and three loops (D, anti-codon, and T loops). The record is from RNAcentral. RNAcentral also lists the same sequence under 1 other name. Lineage: Eukaryota; Metazoa; Chordata; Lepidosauria; Squamata; Lacertidae.
CAAAAAGUAGCUUAUAAAAGCACCCAGCUUACAACUAGGAGAUGCCGCAUUAACUACGGUCUUUUUGA